Molecule: long non-coding RNA, 1155 nt
Filed under: Anser cygnoides (Swan goose)
Lineage: Eukaryota; Metazoa; Chordata; Aves; Anseriformes; Anatidae
Description: lncRNA (ENSACDG00005012098.1)
Source: RNAcentral
GUGGGAGGAAAGAUUUGCAGUUGAUAGCAGAUAGAGUAAAAAGUUAACUAACAAAUUAGACACUAGAACACCAGGCUUGUUUGAUGGAGAGACAGCUGUCUCAAAACUAAUUUGGGCUUUUCUCAGGAAAAUGGUGCUUGAUUACAUGAGGAGGUAUAGUAAACACAGUGGUAAGAUCACCUAGUUGAGGCACUUCACAAAGAGAUGACUGGAAGCACAGAAAACUCUAUCUAUGACCUUUCAUUGCAUAGCAAGAUUACAUGUGAGCUAUCAACUUCAGCAUGUCAAAAAUCAGGCUCUUUGCACAUAGGCAAAUUCCCACAUAAGAAGAGCACAAAAUAAAAAGUAUGAAUUCUGAGCAAGGCACUUAAAAUAUGUUAUUUCUGCUAAAAUCUACAGGGAAAAAAGGGGGGGAGGGGAUGAGGAGGAUGUGUCUUUUUCUCAGUUAUAUCUCUUAAAAUUAACACCAGUAGUGAUAUCCCUACAAUAGAAACAUGGAUAAUUCGUUUCAAGCUGUUGAUGUUAUAGCAAAGGUAUGCAUUAUUUUGCUGCAAAUGGCUGUGGACUUCCUCUAUUCACAUGAAGAAAAGAAAGUGCUACAACGCAACCCUUUCUAACUCUUUGCCAGACCAUCCACAUUACUCAGACUAGCUGGUAAAAAUGUGAGCUACUGACCUGCAAGGACAACAAAACUUUAUGAGAAGGACAGGACAUUUUCAGAGUGUUUCCUCUUUUUGCUAUUUUAAGGAGGAAGCUGACAAGACUCCUAUUCAAUAUGUUCAGUAAGGAGUACAUGAAAAACACAAAGGCAAAUGAAAAAAGAUAAGUAUGGGGAAAAGAGUAACACAAGACUGAAAAACAUGAGUGCAAAAGAAUGGAUAACAGCAUUCUUUUUUUUUUUUUUUUUUUUUCCCCCUCUAAAUACCUCCUUGGUCUCUCAAAUCUUGCCUUCACUCAUUAUCUGUGCUCUCCCACUCUCCUGCUUCUCCAAAAGGCCCUCAGAGUCUACUGUAAGUAUAAAGAAGACCUUUUGCACUGAGCCAUCAAAGUCUUUUCUGCCUUUGUUUUCCAAAUCCAUUCCAGGACCUCCAGCCCCCUGGAUGUGAUGAUUCCUACUAAAAUAAACACCAGCACUCUCUGAAUCUCCCUUCUUAU